RNAcentral lists this ribosomal RNA (471 nucleotides) under uncultured Syntrophus sp. RNAcentral's name for it is "bacterial SSU rRNA". It matches the Rfam family "Bacterial small subunit ribosomal RNA", at positions 910 to 1382 of the family's 1533-position model. Lineage: Bacteria; Pseudomonadati; Thermodesulfobacteriota; Syntrophia; Syntrophales; Syntrophaceae. The record is from RNAcentral.
UUGACGGGGCCCGCACAAGCGGUGGAGCAUGUGGUUUAAUCGAUGCGACGCGAAGAACCUUACCUGGGCUUGACAUCCCGGGAAUCCCUUGGAAACAAGGGAGUGCCCUUCGGGGAACCUGGAGACAGGUGCUGCAUGGCUGCCGUCAGCUCGUGUCGUGAGAUGUAGGGUUAAGUCCCGCAACGAGCGCAACCCUUGUCUUUAAUUGCCAUCAUUGAGUUGGGCACUUUAAAGAGACUGCCGGUGUUAAACCGGAGGAAGGUGGGGAUGACGUCAAGUCCUCAUGGCCUUUAUGCCCAGGGCUACACACGUGCUACAAUGGGUGGUACAAAGAGCAGCCAGCUCGCGAGAGUGAGCAAAUCUCAAAAAGCCAUCCUCAGUUCGGAUUGAAGUCUGCAACUCGACUUCAUGAAGUUGGAAUCGCUAGUAAUCGCGGAUCAGCAUGCCGCGGUGAGUACGUUCCCGGGCCUU